GAAUUUUAUAUAAAUUUAUUUAUAGAGAUUAAUAGUUAAUUAGUAAGGUAAGUAAAUUUUAUAUUUAGUUGGGAGGAUUAUUAAAUUAAAAAAACUUAAAUUUUUAAGUAAAAUAUAGAUAAAUAAAGAAGUUAAAGAAUGAUUAUUAAAUAAAUAAGAAAUAAUUACCUUAGGGAUAACAGCGUAAUAUUUUUAGAUAGAUCAUAUAGAUAAAAAUGAUUGC
RNAcentral lists this ribosomal RNA (223 nucleotides) under Cyphomyrmex peltatus. RNAcentral describes it as "partial large subunit ribosomal RNA". Lineage: Eukaryota; Metazoa; Arthropoda; Insecta; Hymenoptera; Formicidae. The record is from RNAcentral.